RNAcentral lists this ribosomal RNA (740 nucleotides) under uncultured archaeon. Its description in RNAcentral is "bacterial SSU rRNA". It matches the Rfam family "Archaeal small subunit ribosomal RNA", at positions 1 to 750 of the family's 1478-position model. The record is from RNAcentral.
UUCCGGUUGAUCCUGCCGGACCCGACUGCUAUCAGAGUGAGAUUAAGCCAUGCGAGUUAACGUAGCAAUACGUGGCGCACGGCUCAGUAACACGUAGUCAACGUGCCCAGAGGACGUGGAUAACCUCGGGAAACUGAGUCUAAACCGCGACAAGUGAGGAUUUCUGGAAUGGUUCCUGACUAAAAUCUAUAUGGCCUCUGGAUUGGACUGCGGCCGAUCAGGCUGUUGGUGAGGUAAUGGCCCACCAAACCUGUAACCGGUACGGGCUCUGAGAGGAGGAGCCCGGAGAUGGGCACUGAGACAAGGGCCCAGGCCCUAUGGGGCGCAGCAGGCGCGAAACCUCUGCAAUAGGCGAAAGCCUGACAGGGUUACUCUGAGUGACUUUCGCUAAGAAAGUCUUUUGGCACCUCUAAAAAGGGUGCAGAAUAAGGGGUGGGCAAGUCUGGCGUCAGCCGCCGCGGUAAUACCAGCACCCCGAGUGGUCGGGACGAUUAUUGGGCCUAAAGCAUCCGUAGCCGGUUCUGCAAGUCCCCCGUUAAAUCCAGCUGCUCAACAGAUGGGCCGCGGAGGAUACUACAGAGCUAGGAGGCAGGAGAGGCAAGCGGUACUCAGUGGGUAGGGGUAAAAUCCGUUGAUCCAUUGAAGACCACCAGUGGCGAAGGCGGCUUGCCAGAAUGCGCUCGACGGUGAGGGAUGAAAGCUGGGGGAGCAAACCGGAUUAGAUACCCGGGUAGUCCCAG